CCUAUAGGGGUGCAGGAGGAUUCCCUUGACCUUGUACGUCCGGAACAGGAGCGGGCGCCGCCCGUCCUCGCCGCCGUCGUCGACGGCCUCCGCCGCCUCCUUGUCGUCGACGGGCGUCCAGUACUUGUCCAUCGGGCUGACGACUACCGCUGCAGGCCUCCUCUGCUUCCUCGUGCCGUGCUGCUUGCCGUUGCCGUUCGCCGCCACAGACGUCGGCACAGUCGUCGUCGUCGCGCCCCCGGCAACGCCGCCGACGUCGGUGCUGCCCCCGUGAUGGCCGCCGGCAACGACGACAGCGCCAUUAUUCGCCGGCGCCUUAGGAGCCAUGCUCUGGUCGACGCGAUGAUCA
This 349-nucleotide unclassified non-coding RNA is filed under the name Zea mays. Its description in RNAcentral is "misc RNA Zm00001eb323720". Lineage: Eukaryota; Viridiplantae; Streptophyta; Magnoliopsida; Poales; Poaceae. The record is from RNAcentral.